GCGGCCGUGGCGGAAUUGGUAUACGCGUACGUUUGAGGGGCGUAUGAUGCAAAUCGUGUGAGUUCGAGUCUCAUCGACCGCACCA
RNAcentral lists this transfer RNA (85 nucleotides) under Acholeplasmatales bacterium. RNAcentral's name for it is "tRNA-Leu". It matches the Rfam family "tRNA". From Rfam's summary of the family: Transfer RNA (tRNA) molecules are approximately 80 nucleotides in length. Their secondary structure includes four short double-helical elements and three loops (D, anti-codon, and T loops). Lineage: Bacteria; Bacillati; Mycoplasmatota; Mollicutes; Acholeplasmatales. The record is from RNAcentral.